GGCCACAGCCAUAUUACCCUGCUGCCCAAGACUGGUUACUCACUGAAGCUAAGCAGGGCUGAGCCUGGUCAGUACCUGGAUGGAAGACCACAUGGGAAAACUAGGUUGCUGUUGGAA
Molecule: ribosomal RNA, 117 nt
Filed under: Danio rerio (zebrafish)
Lineage: Eukaryota; Metazoa; Chordata; Actinopteri; Cypriniformes; Danionidae
Source: RNAcentral